GGGCUUCUUAUGGCAACAAGGUCAGAGGUGAAAACCAUCAUGGCGGCCAAGGUGGUCCUCAAUUGCCACCUCUCCAAGCCAGGUCUGAGGAUACUUCUUGGGCCACUGCCGAGGCCAACUCUUCAUCUGGGCACCAGUCCUCUAAAUCCCAUGGCUCAGGGAGUCUUGUGCAUGGGUUCAGAGACUCCUAGGCCCGAGCAAUAAGGAGUUAGGCAU
RNAcentral lists this long non-coding RNA (216 nucleotides) under Elaeis guineensis (African oil palm). RNAcentral's name for it is "long non-coding RNA (EGUI_LNC039200)". Lineage: Eukaryota; Viridiplantae; Streptophyta; Magnoliopsida; Arecales; Arecaceae. The record is from RNAcentral.